Cinara cedri is the source of this 202-nucleotide non-coding RNA. The record is from the annotation of a GenBank genome assembly. Lineage: Eukaryota; Metazoa; Arthropoda; Insecta; Hemiptera; Aphididae.
AAUUACUUCGUGUCGAACAGUCUGCACUGUAUUAGAUUUUGAUCGACUUGCUCGUCUCCAUCUCUACAUUCGCACUCUGCAGUCUCUCCUAUUUUCUAUCGCACAAGAUUCUUUUUUUACUUUUGCGACUUCAGUACUUAGGCGGUUUAAGAUUUUCCAUAGUCUAUAUUUAUAUAUCAGUUACCUGGUGGUAAAUCCUCUG